GCACGGGUGGCGAAGCGGUAACGCGGCGGCCUGCAAAGCCGUUAUUCAUGGGUUCGAAUCCCAUCCCGUGCUCCA
RNAcentral lists this transfer RNA (75 nucleotides) under Acidobacteriota bacterium. RNAcentral's name for it is "Acidobacteria bacterium tRNA-Cys". It matches the Rfam family "tRNA". Rfam says of the family: Transfer RNA (tRNA) molecules are approximately 80 nucleotides in length. Their secondary structure includes four short double-helical elements and three loops (D, anti-codon, and T loops). Lineage: Bacteria; Pseudomonadati; Acidobacteriota. The record is from RNAcentral. RNAcentral also lists the same sequence under 2 other names.